RNAcentral lists this ribosomal RNA (253 nucleotides) under uncultured bacterium. RNAcentral's name for it is "partial 16S ribosomal RNA". It matches the Rfam family "Bacterial small subunit ribosomal RNA", at positions 524 to 776 of the family's 1533-position model. The record is from RNAcentral.
UACGUAGGCAGCGAGCGUUGUUCGGAGUUACUGGGCGUAAAGGGUGCGUAGGCGGUUGUUUAAGUUUGGUGUGGAAUCUCCCGGCUCAACUGGGAGGGUGCGCCGAAUACUGAAUGACUAGAGUGCGGGAGAGGAUAGUGGAAUUCCUGGUGUAGCGGUGAAAUGCGUAGAUAUCAGGAGGAACACCGGUGGUGUAGACGGCUAUCUGGACCGUAACUGACGCUGAGGCACGAAAGCGUGGGUAGCAAACAGG